This 422-nucleotide ribosomal RNA is filed under the name uncultured bacterium. Its description in RNAcentral is "bacterial SSU rRNA". It matches the Rfam family "Bacterial small subunit ribosomal RNA", at positions 355 to 774 of the family's 1533-position model. RNAcentral also lists the same sequence under 1 other name. The record is from RNAcentral.
UGAGGAAUAUUGGUCAAUGGGCGGAAGCCUGAACCAGCCAAGUAGCGUGCAGGAUGACGGCCCUAUGGGUUGUAAACUGCUUUUAUACAGGAAUAAAGUUAGCCACGUGUGGUUAUUUGUAGGUACUGUAUGAAUAAGGACCGGCUAAUUCCGUGCCAGCAGCCGCGGUAAUACGGAAGGUCCAGGCGUUAUCCGGAUUUAUUGGGUUUAAAGGGAGCGUAGGCCGUCUGUUAAGCGUGUUGUGAAAUGUAGAUGCUCAACAUCUGAAUUGCAGCGCGAACUGGCAGACUUGAGUGUGCGCAACGUAGGCGGAAUUCGUGGUGUAGCGGUGAAAUGCUUAGAUAUCACGAAGAACUCCGAUUGCGAAGGCAGCUUACGGGAGCACAACUGACGCUGAAGCUCGAAAGUGCGGGUAUCGAACA